RNAcentral lists this small RNA (735 nucleotides) under Pongo abelii (Sumatran orangutan). Its description in RNAcentral is "processed transcript". The record is from RNAcentral. Lineage: Eukaryota; Metazoa; Chordata; Mammalia; Primates; Hominidae.
CAUGGGGGUUAGUGCCGGCCGGGGAGAGCGCGGGGUGCGGCGUGGGCACCGGGGAGCCGGGGUUAGGGCUGGUGGCUGGGGCCCGGGAGAGGGCGGCACGGGGCGUCGAGAUCCGGGAGCAGUUGGAGGGGGCUCAGGAGGCUGCGCGUGGGCAGGACCGCCCCAGGACAAUUCAGGGGAAGCUUUAAAGGAACCAGAAAGGGUCCAGGAGCACUCUUUGCCCAACUUUGCUGGGGGACAGCACUUCUUUGAAUACCUUCUUGUGGUUUCUCUCAAAAAGAAGCGUUCAGAGGAUGAUUACGAGCCUAUAAUCACCUACCAAUUUCCCAAGCGGGAGAACCUGCUUCGGGGUCAGCAGGAGGAGGAGGAGCGGCUGCUCAAAGCUAUCCCCUUGUUCUGCUUCCCAGAUGGGAAUGAGUGGGCAUCACUCACUGAGUAUCCCAGGGAGACCUUCUCCUUCGUUCUGACCAAUGUGGAUGGGAGCAGAAAGAUUGGAUACUGCAGGCGCCUCUUGCCUGCUGGCCCUGGCCCUCGCCUUCCCAAAGUGUACUGCAUCAUCAGCUGCAUCGGCUGCUUCGGCUUGUUCUCCAAGAUCCUGGAUGAAGUGGAGAAGAGACAUCAGAUCUCCAUGGCUGUCAUCUACCCGUUCAUGCAGGGCCUCCGAGAGGCAGCCUUCCCUGCUCCUGGGAAGACUGUCACUCUCAAGAGCUUCAUCCCCGACUCAGGCACUGAGGU